GGGGACGACUUGGCUUCGACUGGAGCUAAAGGUCUGUAAUUGCAUGUCGGACUGAGCAUCUCCGUUACACGGCUCACAUUGCUUAAAUGCAAACAACACAAAUUACCGCCCAGCUUUAGCAGUAGCUUAAGUUUUACCCCCUCAUAAGAGGACGGGCUGCUUCACCUAUGGACUCUAGAUAAGUAGGAUUCGAAGUAUAACCCUUUAUGUAGAUAUAUCUUUAGUCUGUCUCAACUGAAGAUGAAACCCUGAGGCUCGUCUUGUGUAACUUUGCAAGUUGUGUGAAGCAAGAUUAAACUCAAACGACUUCUCUAAGCAUGUAGACGUUGCAGAAACUUGGUUUUAGGACUGCGGUUCGAUCCCGCACGUCUCCACCA
RNAcentral lists this transfer-messenger RNA (377 nucleotides) under Campylobacterales bacterium. It matches the Rfam family "transfer-messenger RNA". Rfam says of the family: Bacterial tmRNA, also known as 10Sa RNA or SsrA, is named for its dual tRNA and mRNA-like properties. Its role is to liberate the mRNA from a stalled ribosome. Lineage: Bacteria; Pseudomonadati; Campylobacterota; Epsilonproteobacteria; Campylobacterales. The record is from RNAcentral. RNAcentral also lists the same sequence under 1 other name.